Molecule: ribosomal RNA, 524 nt
Filed under: Candida tropicalis
Lineage: Eukaryota; Fungi; Ascomycota; Pichiomycetes; Serinales; Debaryomycetaceae
Description: eukaryotic LSU rRNA
Rfam family: 5.8S ribosomal RNA (bases 160-313)
Source: RNAcentral
UGGGUACUGCGGAGACAUUACUGAUUUGCUUAAUUGCACCACAUGUGUUUUUUAUUGAACAAAUUUCUUUGGUGGCGGGAGCAAUCCUACCGCCAGAGGUUAUAACUAAACCAAACUUUUUAUUUACAGUCAAACUUGAUUUAUUAUUACAAUAGUCAAAACUUUCAACAACGGAUCUCUUGGUUCUCGCAUCGAUGAAGAACGCAGCGAAAUGCGAUACGUAAUAUGAAUUGCAGAUAUUCGUGAAUCAUCGAAUCUUUGAACGCACAUUGCGCCCUUUGGUAUUCCAAAGGGCAUGCCUGUUUGAGCGUCAUUUCUCCCUCAAACCCCCGGGUUUGGUGUUGAGCAAUACGCUAGGUUUGUUUGAAAGAAUUUAACGUGGAAACUUAUUUUAAGCGACUUAGGUUUAUCCAAAAACGCUUAUUUUGCUAGUGGCCACCACAAUUUAUUUCAUAACUUUGACCUCAAAUCAGGUAGGACUACCCGCUGAACUUAAGCAUAUCAAUGAGCCGCGGAGGGGAAAA